This 582-nucleotide ribosomal RNA is filed under the name Vibrio cholerae. RNAcentral's name for it is "partial 23S ribosomal RNA". It matches the Rfam family "Bacterial large subunit ribosomal RNA", at positions 1 to 629 of the family's 2925-position model. Lineage: Bacteria; Pseudomonadati; Pseudomonadota; Gammaproteobacteria; Vibrionales; Vibrionaceae. The record is from RNAcentral.
UGUAUGGUUAAGUGACUAAGCGUACACGGUGGAUGCCUGGGCAGUCAGAGGCGAUGAAGGACGUACUAACUUGCGAUAAGCGCAGAUAAGGCAGUAAGAGCCGUUUGAGUCUGCGAUUUCCGAAUGGGGAAACCCAACUGCAUAAGCAGUUACUGUUAACUGAAUACAUAGGUUAACAGAGCAAACCGGGGGAACUGAAACAUCUAAGUACCCCGAGGAGAAGAAAUCAACCGAGAUUCCGGUAGUAGCGGCGAGCGAACCUGGAUUAGCCCUUAAGCACUCGGUGAAGUAGGUGAACAAGCUGGAAAGCUUGGCGAUACAGGGUGAUAGCCCCGUAACCGACGCUUCAUCGAGCGUGAAAUCGAGUAGGGCGGGACACGUGAUAUCCUGUCUGAAUAUGGGGGGACCAUCCUCCAAGGCUAAAUACUCCUGACUGACCGAUAGUGAACCAGUACCGUGAGGGAAAGGCGAAAAGAACCCCUGUGAGGGGAGUGAAAUAGAACCUGAAACCGUGUACGUACAAGCAGUAGGAGCACCUUCGUGGUGUGACUGCGUACCUUUUGUAUAAUGGGUCAGCGACUU